This 1896-nucleotide ribosomal RNA is filed under the name Triticum aestivum (bread wheat). Its description in RNAcentral is "partial small subunit ribosomal RNA". The record is from RNAcentral. Lineage: Eukaryota; Viridiplantae; Streptophyta; Magnoliopsida; Poales; Poaceae.
AUGCUUAGGCGGCGGCUGCUCCGAGAGCUCCAAGCUUGCGCGGAGUCGCUCCCUCAAUCGAGCAAUCAGAUUGCGUUUGCAAGAAUCUGUGGAUGCCCGUUGAAUCUGACUAAAGAUUCGCGUAAGUAUUGUAAUCCUCCUAUCAGUUUCCGCUUGCCGCUAGUUUUUAGAAGAGGAGUUGUUGCUGUUGUUGCUGGUUCUUGUGGUGUGAGGUCUUUUCAGAACUCUGAUGUCCAGCCGCCGGCUCGGUGCUUUUCCGGCGAAGCCUGCGCGGCGCCCCCGGCCAAGAUCCCGGAUUCGCCGGCGCGCGUGCUCCGGCAUGGCCUCGUCCGUGCGAGCGCGCAGGCCUCGCUGCUCGAGUAUCUCCAUUCUACGCGGGGAAUAGAGUUUAUGCUGGCCGAGCACAUGAGCAAGAACUCUCCGGCGUUCCUCGCCCGCCUCCUUGCCAACGUGGACACCGGCGGCGGCGCCGAUGUGAGAUUGUCAGUCUCCAGGUUCCUCCAAUACCACCCCAUCAAUGAGUUUGAGCCGUUCUUCGAGAGCAUUGGGCUCAGGCCGUCAGAGUUGGGGAAGUUCUUGCCAAGUGAUUUGAUAUACCUGAAGGAUGCUGUCGAAUUGCUGGAGAAUUACCAAGUACUUUGUGAUUAUGGCGUGCCACGGACCAAGAUUGGUAAGGUGUACAAGGAGGCCAAUGAGGUGUUUGGUUAUGGACACAGUGUGUUAUUCUCGAAAUUGCAAGAAUAUGAGCAGCUUGGAUUGAGCAAAUCAACAAUCACCAAGCUUGUAGUGUGUUGCCCCAAACUCCUUAUUGGUGAAGCCAACCUUGAGUUUCUGCAUGUUUUGGAUAAGCUGAAAGCCUCUGGUAUUAUGCUCGGAUGGUUUAGAGGGGGUUUGUCAGAUGAGAGCACACACAACUGGAGACGAACUCUUAAAAUGCUUGAAUUUCUUGAUAUGAUGGGUUCCAACAACAAGACUCUGUUGGUAAGGCUGAUCAAAGAACAUCCAAGAUUUGUGUUUGGCGAAUCUGGUAAGAAGUUGUAUCUUCUUGUCAGCAUGCUGUGUAAAUUUGGCAUUCAGAUAGAUAGCAUGCUACAGCUGUUCGUGCAGUGUCCAUGGGUUCUAAACAUGAAAUUUCCAAAGAAUCUGCAGAAAUCAGUGGAUUUUUUGACUCAGAUAGGAAUGGAGGCAUUCGACAUUGCUCGCGUUGUCUCAUCAUGCCCUGAAAUUCUUGGUGCUAGUUCUUGUCAGAGUGCUGCUAUUGUGUUGUCUACCAUGAACCUGUCUGCUGCGAGGUUAUGCAAUAUCAUAAAAGAUGACCCUAUGCAGUUUGGUACUUUGGUAUCAAAGAAAAAAAUUGCAGCUGUGACAAAGAUAGACAGUUUUUAUCUUGGAGAGAAGGCUGAAUUUUUGCUGAAGAUCGGCUUCAUUGAGAACUCUGACGACAUGGUGAAGGCAAUGUCCCAUUUUCGUGGCCGCGGUGACCAGCUUCAAGAGAGGCUAGAUUGCUUGGUCGAUGCUGGAUUGGACUAUGAGGAUGCCUGCAGCAUGAUCAAAGUGGCCCCAUUUGUACUGAACAUGUCAGUGAGUAUGAUCAAGAAAAAGAUCAGCUACAUUCUGAAUGACAUCGGAUACACUCUUGAAUCUAUUGUUGCUUUUCCUGCGAUUUUCGGGUACAGUUUGGAGAAGAUGAAGCUGAGAUUCAUGAUGUACAAGUGGCUCACCGAAAAUGGCGUCAAGAUCAAACCAACAAACAAGAACAAGGUAAACAAGUCCAUGGUAGCCUUGAGCACCAUCAUGGCAUGCUCAGAUGUCAGGUUUGUGAAGCAAUUUGUGAAUCUUCACCCUGGUGGACUGGAUCAAUGGCAAAGGUUGAAGAACUGUUCAACUAUUCAGUAA